This 494-nucleotide ribosomal RNA is filed under the name uncultured bacterium. RNAcentral's name for it is "partial 16S ribosomal RNA". It matches the Rfam family "Bacterial small subunit ribosomal RNA", at positions 28 to 507 of the family's 1533-position model. The record is from RNAcentral.
GACGAACGCUGGCGGCGUGCUUAACACAUGCAAGUCGAACGGAAAGGCCUGUCCUUCCUUGUGUUGGACGGGUACUCGAGUGGCGAACGGGUGAGUAACACGUGAGUGAUCUGCCCCCAACUUGGGUAUAAGCCUGGGAAACUGGGUCUAAUUCCCGAUAGGACUGCAGGGUGGUGCCUGUGGUGGAAAACGAUUUUCUAGUGGUUGGGGAUGAGCUCGCGGCCUAUCAGCUUGUUGGUGGGGUAAUGGCCUACCAAGGCGGCGACGGGUAGCCGGCCUGGGAGGGUGGACGGGCACAUUGGGACUGAGAUACGGCCCAGACUCCUACGGGAGGCAGCAGUGGGGAAUAUUGCACAAUGGGCGGAAGCCUGAUGCAGCGACGCCGCGUGGGGGAUGACGGCCUUCGGGUUGUAAACUCCUUGCGACCGCGAGGAAGCCGCCUGGUUGGAAGGGUGGUGACGGUAGUGGUAGAAGAAGCACCGGCUAACUACGUG